RNAcentral lists this ribosomal RNA (495 nucleotides) under uncultured Saccharibacillus sp. RNAcentral describes it as "partial 16S ribosomal RNA". Lineage: Bacteria; Bacillati; Bacillota; Bacilli; Caryophanales; Paenibacillaceae. The record is from RNAcentral.
CACGUAGUUAGCCGGGGCCUUUCUUCUCCAGGGUACCGUCAACUCCGGUGCAGUUACUCACCCGGACGUUCUUCCCUGGCGAACAGGAGCUUUACGAUCCGAAGACCUUCAUCACUCACGCGGCAUUGCUCCAUCAGGCUUUCGCCCAUUGUGGAAGAUUCCCUACUGCUGCCUCCCGUAGGAGUCUGGGCCGUGUCUCAGUCCCAGUGUGGCCGUUCACCCUCUCAGGUCGGCUACGCAUCGUCGCCUUGGUGAGCCGUUACCCCACCAACUAGCUAAUGCGCCGCAGGCCCAUCUCUCAGUGACAGCUUGCGCCGUCUUUCCUCAUCUCUCCAUGCGGAGAAACGAUGUAUCCGGUAUUAGCAUCCGUUUCCGGAAGUUAUCCCAGACUGAAAGGCAGGUUGCCUACGUGUUACUCACCCGUCCGCCGCUAACUUCGGUGGACAAGUUCCACCUUAGCCGCUCGACUUGCAUGUAUUGGCAUGCCGCCAGCGU